RNAcentral lists this ribosomal RNA (509 nucleotides) under Ilybiosoma lugens. RNAcentral's name for it is "partial 16S ribosomal RNA". It matches the Rfam family "Bacterial large subunit ribosomal RNA", at positions 1819 to 2597 of the family's 2925-position model. Lineage: Eukaryota; Metazoa; Arthropoda; Insecta; Coleoptera; Dytiscidae. The record is from RNAcentral. RNAcentral also lists the same sequence under 1 other name.
GUCCUUUUGAAUUUAAUUUAAGGUCUGACCUGCCCACUGAAUUUUUGAAGGGCCGCAGUAUUUUGACUGUGCAAAGGUAGCAUAAUCAUUAGUUUUUUAAUUAAAAGCUUGUAUGAAGGGUUGGACGAGGUAAAUUCUGUCUCUAUUUAAUUUAAUUUAGAAUUUAAUUUUUAAGUCAAAAAGCUUAAAUAUUAUUAAAAGACGAGAAGACCCUAUAGAUCUUUAUAUUAAAUUAAUUAAUUUUAUUUAAGAAUUAUUUAUUUUUUAAUAAGUUUAAUAUUUUAUUGGGGUAAUAAAAAGAUUAAUUUAAUUCUUUUUUUAUUUUUACAUUAAUAUAUGAUUAUAUGAUCCAAUUUUAUUGAUUAAAAGAUUAAGUUACCUUAGGGAUAACAGCGUAAUUUUUUUAAAGAGUUCAUAUCGAUAAAAAAGUUUGCGACCUCGAUGUUGGAUUAAAAAUUAUCUUAGGUGCAGAAGUUUAAGAUUUUGGUCUGUUCGACCAUUAAAUUUUU